UUCAUACUAGAAUAUUUAUUCAAUCUAAAUAUUAAUAUAUAUCUAUAUUAAUUAAUUAAUUAAAUUCUAUAUUUAAUUAUAUAUUAAAAACUUAUUAGACUCAUAUUAAAUAUAUCAAAUUAAAAGUUAUCUUUAUUAGAUUAUGUAGAAUAGAAAUUUAUACAAUAUUAUAUAUAUAAUGAUAUAUUAAUGUAUAUUAUCUUAAGAUAUAAAUUAUUAUACUUUUUUAUAAACUAAUUAAUUAAUGUUCCAGAAUAUUCGGUUAAACAUAAAAGUUUUAGUAUAAAUUAUUAUUAAAGGACUUACUUAGUUAAUAUAAAUUAUUAAAUGUUAAUAAUUAAGUAUAUAUAAAAUAUUAUUAUUAGUUAAAUAAUAAAUAAAUAUAAAAUAUUAUUAUAAAUAAAGAAAUAUACAGAAUAUUAUUAGUAUUAAAUUUAAUUAAGCAUUAUUUUAUAAAUUGGAUUAGAGACCCAAGUAAUAAUAGCAGUUAAUUAUAAUAAAUUUAUUUAUAAAUAUGAAAAUAGAAAUAUUAUUCCUAGAGAAUAAAAUAGCAAUAUUUAAAAUUAAUAAUGUUAGAUAGUAUAUAAUUAAGAAUUUAUGACUUAUCAUUUUUAAUAUGAAGAUACACAUAUAAAUUAUACAUAUAAUAAGAUAUAUUGCAUGAUUAUUUUUAGAUUAUUAUUUAUUAUUAUAUAUUCAUUAGAAUAUAUAUAUUAUAUAUUAUUAAAAUAAAUAAUAUGAUUUAUUAAAUAUGGAAACAGAUAAGACUAAUUAUUUCUACAUAUAUAUAUAUGUAUUAUUAAUAGAAAUAAAAAGUAAAUUAUUAUAAUAAAUUAUAGAAAUUAGAAUAAUUGAAUAUUAAAUUUAUAUAUACUUACAGCCCAUCAAUAGAGUAUAUUUAUAUAUCUAUAAGUUGUAACAAGGUAUUAGUUCAAGAAUGAGUUAAUA
This 948-nucleotide ribosomal RNA is filed under the name Rozella allomycis. RNAcentral's name for it is "16S ribosomal RNA". The record is from RNAcentral. Lineage: Eukaryota; Fungi; Rozellomycota.